UUCCAAAUGUCAAUCAUGUCAAUUUAUCUUAAGCUCGCCCCAUUCCUCUGUCAUUUGUCGCGCGCCGCAAGCACUCAAUGAAAAGCAUUGUUCAUAUGAGUGCUUGCGGCGCGCGACAAAUGACAGAGGAAUGGGGCAAGCUUAAUAUAAAUUGACAUUUGGAAGCAUUCU
Molecule: microRNA precursor, 171 nt
Filed under: Paramuricea clavata
Lineage: Eukaryota; Metazoa; Cnidaria; Anthozoa; Malacalcyonacea; Plexauridae
Source: RNAcentral